Molecule: ribosomal RNA, 253 nt
Filed under: uncultured bacterium
Lineage: Bacteria
Description: partial 16S ribosomal RNA
Rfam family: Bacterial small subunit ribosomal RNA
Source: RNAcentral
UACAUAGGGAGCGAGCGUUAUCCGGAUUUAUUGGGUGUAAAGGGUGCGUAGACGGGAAUACAAGUUGGUUGUGAAAUCCCUCGGCUCAACCGAGGAACUGCAACCAAAACUAUAUUUCUUGAGUGCUGGAGAGGAAAGUGGAAUCCCUAGUGUAGCGGUGAAAUACGUAGAUAUUAGGAGGAACACCAGUGGCGAAGGCGACUUUCUGGACAGUAACUGACGUUGAGGCACGAAAGUGUGGGGAGCAAACAGG